GCAGCAAGGUUUUAAAUUUCCUUCAAAAUGAGUGCUUUUGGAUAUGAAGGUUAGGUUAAACCUAACAGGAUAUCAAUCAAAUUUUUAUUUUCUGAGUUUUUUUCAAGUAUACAUUGGGGAAGUAACUUUGAAGCCACGGAAGGUGACCAUGAAGACCAGGAAAGCCUUUGACUGGCAUAUGAGAGCUAAGGUCUCAAGACAGCCAAGCAGUCCAAGGAAAGACAGGCCUUCCAAGGAGAGACGGAUGAGUAGCUGGUCUGUGGCAGAACCUGAGAGGAGACGCUGGAUACCAUGUAAGCAGACUUCCCCAGGUACUCAAGAAAGACUGGUGGCUGGGCAGGAGAACAGAGAAAGCCUCCAUCUGUGAUGCAGGCCUGGAAAAGGGAGCAGCCACCACUACAGGGAAAGCUUGAAGCUCUGCCUAGACUCUUCUUCCUUUCAGACAAAAGCCACAGGAAGAAGGGCAGCAAAUUUUGCGGAUCCCUGGGAACAGGUGAAGACCACUGUGACUGAGACAAAAGUAAAAAAAAAGAAAAAAAAAACAACCAAGCAAACAAAAAGAGCAGAAAAAAACAAACCAAAACAAAACCCCUUUACUCCUAGAGGAAGGGCAGGAAACUCUCCUGCAAAAAACCUGUCAAAGAUGCCAACAGUUUGGCUCUCCUUGGCGGGGGACAGGAUCACUGAGAAAGGCUGAUUUCCCUAAGCCUCAAGACCGAGGGUCCGCUUAGUACUAAGGCUGAAUCUGAAAAGCAGAAGGACCUCCAACCUGUACCAGUAGGCCAGCAAACCCCAAGAAUCAAGGAACAGCAGCCUUCUGAGCUUGGCAGAAGAGCAAAAAUGUGCUUAGAAUCUCCUACCAGGCUCAGGCUCACAGGGAAGGCUGAAAGCUGAGGGUGGUGUACCAACAUUGAGAAAAGCCCUCCAGCAACCUAACCCCACCUUAAUUUAAUUACUGAAAACCAAAGUUAAAGAGAAAAUUUUGAAGGCAGCCUGAGAAAGAAGGCUUUUCUUAAUGCAGAGGAACAAAGAUAGGAGUUCCACACCAAGCUUUUUACUAAAAACUGUACGAACCUGAAGACAGUGAAGUGACAUCUUUCCAGUGCUGAAAGAAAAUAACUGUCAAACCAGAAUUCUACACCCGAUGAAAUAUCUUUCAAAAAUGAAGACAAAAUAAAGACUUUUUUAGAAAAUAAAAGCUGACAGAAUUCAUUACCAGCAGUCCUGUACUAUAAGAAAUGUUAAAGGAAGUUCUUUAAGUAAGAGGAAUAUGAAAUCAAAAAAUCUGGUAUCAUACACAAAGAAAUGGAUCUACAAAAUAAAUGAAGAUGUCCGGAAAUGGUGAAAAUGAAAAUAAAUAGAAUGACAUUCUCUUUUUUUUUUUUUGAUCUCUCUAAAAGGUUAUUUUCAAAAAGAGCAAUGUAUUGUGGUUUUAUUGCAGAUAUAAAAAUAAAAUUAAAACAACCACAGAAAAGAUGAGAGAGAAUUAGAAAUGUGCUGUUAAGUUCCUAAACUGUACAUGAAUUAGUAUAAUUUUUUUGAACUUAGACUAUGAGUAAUUCGAGAUGUAUGUUGUAAGUUUUUGAGCAACAGCUAAACCAAAUUUUUUAAUAGAUAUAAAAUAGAUUUACAAAAUAUUCAAUUAAUUCUAAUGGAGGCAGAAAAAGAGGAAAAAGGAACAAAGAACAAAGGGAAUAAAUAAAAACAACUAGCAAGAUUAUAUAUUUAAAUCCAAUAAUCAUAUUAAAUGUAAGUGGUCUAAAUAAACUAAAAGAGGUUGUCAAAUUGGAUAAAAAACAAUUAUAAUCUAUCUACAAAAAAUCCACUUCAAAUAGAAAAGACAUACAUAAUUAAAAGCAAAAGAAUGGGAAAAGAUACACCAUGCAAACAGUAAUCAAAAUAAAGCUGGAGUAUCUACAUUAAUAUAAAAGUUGACUUUAGAAUAAGGAAUAUCACCAAGGAUGAAGAGGGACAUUACAUACUGAUGAAGGGGUCAAUUCACCAAGAAGUAUAACAAUUCUAAAUGUGUAUGUACCUUACAACAGAGGUGCUAGAAAUGGAAAGAAAUGGAGAAAUAAAUUAACAGUUAUAGAAACUCCACCUUUUUAAUUAAUAGAACAACUAGACAGAAAAAUCAACAAGGUUAUAGAAGACCUGGCAAUCAUCAACUGCACCUGACAUUUAAAGAACAAUCCAUCUAAUGAUAGGAGAAUUUAUUCUUUUCAAAUUUAAUAUUUUACUUAUACUUUACUCAUCCAAGUCUAGUAUUAAUUAGAACCUUUAUUGCCUCCCAAAGGUCCUUAGAACCCUUUAACUCCUCUUACGUCUUUCACCUUAUGUGCUAUUCUUGAGGAUUUUCAUUUCAUGAAUAUUUUAGAUACUACAAAACAUUUUCUAAUAAUGAUUUAUCUUUCUGAUGCACUUCUAUUUUCCAUUGUUUUUUAUUCUUUCCUGUACCUCUGAGAUGCUAUUUGGUAUCUUUUUUAUUUUUUUUAAACACCCUUUAGUAUUUCCAUUAGUGACAGUUUGGUGGCAACAAAAUUAAUUUUCAUUUUUUAGACACAUAAGAUGCCUUUAAUGCACCAUCAUUCCUGAAAAAUAUUUUCAUUAGGUAUAGAGUUAUAUGGUGGCAAUUGGUUAUUUUCUUUCAGCAUUUUAACUUUUUCUAUUUUUUAAAUUUUCUAUUUCACUUAUUGCUAGUCUAAUUUUUAUUGUUUCCUUCCUUCUGUUUGUUUUGGGUUUACACUUCUUUUUCAACUUUCUUAAGGUAGAGAUUGAACUAGUAAGAUCUUUCUUCUUUUUUAAUAUAGGCAUGUACCACUAUAAAUUUCCUUCUAAGCACUGCUUAUCUGCAUCCCAUAUGUUUUUGUAUGUUGUAUAUUUUGUUUUCAUUCACCUCAAAGUAUUUUCUGACUUCCUUUGUGAUUUCUUCUUUGAUCCAGUGGCUAUUUAGGAGUGUGUUGUCUAAUUUCCACAUACUUGUGAAUUUCUCAAAUGCCCUUUUGUUAUUGAUUUUUAAUUUCAUUCCAUUGUGGUUGGAUAACAUACUUUGUUUGACUUCAAUCCUUUUAUAUUGAUUGAGACUUGUUUUAUAGCCUAAUAUACCAUCUGUUCUGGAGAGUGUCCCAUGCGCACUUAAGAAUAAUGUAUAUUCUGCUGUUGUCGUGUGGUGUUUUAUAAAUGUCUAUUAGGUCUAAUGGGCUUAUAGUAUUAUUUAAGUAUUCUAUUUUCUUGUUGAUCUACCUAAUUGUUCUAUUAUUAAAAGUGGGGUAUUGAAGUCUCCGACUGUUAUUGUUUAAUUAUAUCACCCUUCCAUUCUGCCCAUUAUUGCUUCAUAUUUUGGAGCCCUGUUGUUAAUUGCAUAUAAUAUUUAUAAUUGCUAUGUCUUGCUGAUGGAUCGAUACUUUUUUAAAAAAAAAUUUAUACCACUUUAUACCUAGUAAAAGUUUUUUGUGUUAAAUCUA
Molecule: long non-coding RNA, 3464 nt
Organism: Pteropus alecto (black flying fox)
Lineage: Eukaryota; Metazoa; Chordata; Mammalia; Chiroptera; Pteropodidae
Exons: 3
Source: RefSeq, a predicted model, not a curated record